This 496-nucleotide ribosomal RNA is filed under the name uncultured bacterium. Its description in RNAcentral is "partial 16S ribosomal RNA". It matches the Rfam family "Bacterial small subunit ribosomal RNA", at positions 29 to 507 of the family's 1533-position model. The record is from RNAcentral.
AUGAACGCUGGCGGCGUGCCUCAUACCUGCCAGUCGCGCGAACAGAUAAGGAGCUUGCUCCUUUGACGUUAGCGGCGGACGGGUGAGUAACACGUGGGUAACCUACCUAUAAGACUGGGAUAACUUCGGGAAACCGGAGCUAAUACCGGAUAAUAUUUCGAACCGCAUGGUUCGAUAGUGAAAGAUGGUUUUGCUAUCACUUAUAGAUGGACCCGCGCCGUAUUAGCUAGUUGGUAAGGUAACGGCUUACCAAGGCGACGAUACGUAGCCGACCUGAGAGGGUGAUCGGCCACACUGGAACUGAGACACGGUCCAGACUCCUACGGGAGGCAGCAGUAGGGAAUCUUCCGCAAUGGGCGAAAGCCUGACGGAGCAACGCCGCGUGAGUGAUGAAGGUCUUCGGAUCGUAAAACUCUGUUAUUAGGGAAGAACAUACGUGUAAGUAACUGUGCACGUCUUGACGGUACCUAAUCAGAAAGCCACGGCUAACUACGUG